This 497-nucleotide ribosomal RNA is filed under the name uncultured bacterium. RNAcentral's name for it is "partial 16S ribosomal RNA". It matches the Rfam family "Bacterial small subunit ribosomal RNA", at positions 28 to 507 of the family's 1533-position model. The record is from RNAcentral.
GAUGAACGCUGGCGGCGUGCCUAAUACAUGCAAGUCAACCGAACAGACGAGGAGCUUGCUCCUUUGACGUUAGCGGCGGACUGGUUAGUACCUCGUUGGUCACCUACCUAUACUACUGUGAUUACUUCGGGCCACCGGAGCUAAUACCUGAUAAUAUUUCUAACCGCAUGGUUCGAUAGUGAAAGAUUGCUUUGCUAUCACUUAUCUAUGGACCUUCGCCGUAUUAGCUAGUUGGUAAGGUAACGGCUUACCAAGGCAACGAUACUUAGCCGACCUGAGAGGGUGAGCGGCCACACAGGAACUGAGAAACGGUGAAGAGGCCUACGGGAGGAAGCAGUAGGGAAGCUACGGAAAUGGGCGAAAGCCUGACGGAGCAAAGCAGCGUGAGUGAGGAAGGGAUGAGGAGCUUAAGACUCUGUUAUUAGGGAAGAACAAACGUGUAAGUAACUGUGCACGUCUUGACGGUACCUAAUCAGAAAGCCACGGCUAACUACGUG